This 1509-nucleotide ribosomal RNA is filed under the name Triticum aestivum (bread wheat). RNAcentral's name for it is "partial small subunit ribosomal RNA". The record is from RNAcentral. Lineage: Eukaryota; Viridiplantae; Streptophyta; Magnoliopsida; Poales; Poaceae.
AUGUACUACGACUCGUGCACGCUCCACUACUCCAACGCCUCCCGGGACCCGGCGCCGGUGGCGGCGCGGACGUAUAGGUACUGGGAGAGCACAAAUGUCACGUCCGAGCAGGCCCUGUUCAACAGCCUCGUGGCCAGGCUCGUGAACGCCACCGCGGACUACGCCGCGUACAACUCCACACGCCGGUACGCCUCCGGGGAGGCCGACUUCGACCGGGAGUUUCCCAAGAUCUACAGCUGGGGGCAGUGCACGCCCGACCUCACCGGGCCGCAGUGCCGACAGUGCCUCGCCAAGAACACGGUGCUGCUGCCGGAGUAUUUCGUGGACAGCACAGGAGCCAGAGCUCUGCAGGUCAGGUGCAGCUUCCGGUACCAGACCUAUUCCUUCUUUGAUGGCCCUGUCAUGGUGCGGCUGCCAGCACCAUCAUCGAGCACCCAAGCACCCGCGCCUGCUCCUGCGCCUGUUGCGGUACCCACGGGUUUGACGCCGAAGCCGGCGACGGCAUCCACAAAAGAUCCCAGUUAUUUCGCCGACGAGGAGGACAAUGAAAGUGUAGACUCGAUGUUGAUUGACAUUUCAACCUUGCGAGUUGCAACCGGGAAUUUUGCAGAUAGCAACAAGCUUGGUGAUGGCGGAUUUGGUGCCGUGUACAAGGGUAUUCUUCCAGACGGUGACGAAAUAGCAGUGAAGAGACUAUCAAAGAGCUCAACACAAGGAGUAGAGGAGCUCAAAAAUGAACUCUCUUUGGUUGCAAAGCUUAGGCACAAGAACCUUGUCACACUUCUUGGCGUCUGCUUGGAGCAACAAGAGAGGCUGCUUGUCUACGAGUUCGUUCCUAACCGAAGCCUCGACCUCUUCCUUUUCGAUGCUGAGAAACAUGUAGAACUGGAUUGGGAAAAGAGGUACAAGAUCAUUAAUGGAAUUGCUCGAGGAUUGCAAUACCUCCAUGAAGACUCCCAGCUCAGAGUGGUCCACCGUGAUCUCAAAACUAGCAACAUAUUGCUUGACAAAGAUAUGAAUCCGAAGAUAUCAGAUUUUGGAAUUGCGAGACUAUUUGGGCAAGAUCAGACCCAUGGAAUAACGAAACAUGUCGUCGGCACAUACGGAUAUAUGGCACCGGAGUACGUGAUGUGUGGGAACUACUCUGUGAAAUCUGAUUCAUUCAGCUUCGGCGUCAUGGUUCUUGAGAUUGUGACGGGAAGGAAGAACAAUGACUACAAUAAUUCUGAGAAAUCUCAAGAUCUUCUGAAUGUGAUGUGGGACCGUUGGAUGGCCACAACAGUGUUGGACAUGAUGGAUCCGUGCAUGAACACCAGCUUCUCAGAGAGCUGCGUGCUAAGAUGCAUCCAUAUAGGGCUUCUGUGUGUUCAAGAAAACCCGGCUGAUCGACCACUUAUGUCGUCUGUGGUCAUGAUGCUCGGAAGCGAUACCGUGCCUCUCUCUGCCCCAUCUAAGCCGGCGUUCUACACCAAGGAGGCUAGCGACAACUUGGGCAUCGCGUCAACUUAG